This 253-nucleotide ribosomal RNA is filed under the name uncultured bacterium. RNAcentral's name for it is "partial 16S ribosomal RNA". It matches the Rfam family "Bacterial small subunit ribosomal RNA", at positions 524 to 776 of the family's 1533-position model. The record is from RNAcentral.
UACGUAGGGGGCAAGCGUUGUCCGGAAUCAUUGGGCGUAAAGAGCGUGUAGGCGGCCAGAUAAGUCCGCUGUGAAAACUCGAGGCUCAACCUCGAGAUGUCGGCGGAAACCAUCUGGCUAGAGUCCGGAAGAGGAGAGUGGAAUUCCUGGUGUAGCGGUGAAAUGCGCAGAUAUCAGGAAGAACACCCGUGGCGAAGGCGGCUCUCUGGGACGGUACUGACGCUGAGACGCGAAAGCGUGGGGAGCGAACAGG